GUAGUUUGAUCGUGGCUACAGAACGAACGCUGGCGGCAGGCUUAACACAUGCAAGUCGAACGCCCCGCAAGGGAGUGGCAGACGGUGAGUAACGCGUGGGAACCUACCUUUCGGUACGGAAUAACUCGGGGAAACUCGGUGCUAAUACCGUAUAUUCCGGUAACGGGAAAGAUUUAUCGCCGAAAGACGGGCCCGCGUUAGAUUAGCUAGUUGGUGGGGUAAUGGCCUACAAGGCGACGAUCUAUAGCUGGUCUGAGAGGAUGAUCAGCCACACUGGGACUGAGACACGGCCCAGACUCCUACGGGAGGCAGCAGUGGGGAAUCUUGGACAAUGGGGGAAACCCUGAUCCAGCCAUGCCGCGUGAGUGAUGACGGCCUUAGGGUUGUAAAGCUCUUUCACGCAUGACGAUGAUGACGGUAAUGCGAGAAGAA
Molecule: ribosomal RNA, 432 nt
Filed under: uncultured Alphaproteobacteria bacterium
Lineage: Bacteria; Pseudomonadati; Pseudomonadota; Alphaproteobacteria
Description: bacterial SSU rRNA
Rfam family: Bacterial small subunit ribosomal RNA
Source: RNAcentral